CGGACGAACGCUGGCGGCGUGCCUAACACAUGCAAGUCAACUUGACUGAAGGAGCAAUCUGACAGUAGAGUGGCGCAAGGGUGCGUAACGCGUAAGUAACUUGCCCCAAGGUAAGGAAUAACGUCGAGAAAUCGGCGCUAAUACCUCAUAAUGCAGCGGAUCCGCAUGGAUAUGUUGUUAAAGGUUUAUCGCCUUGGGAUAGGCUUGCGUCUGAUUAGCUAGUUGGUGUGGUAACGGCACACCAAGGCUACGAUCAGUAACUGGUCUGAGAGGAUGAUCAGUCACACUGGAACUGAGACACGGUCCAGACUCCUACGGGAGGCAGCAGUGAGGAAUAUUGGGCAAUGCUCGAAAGAGUGACCCAGCAACGCCGCGUGGAGGAUGAAGGUAUUCUAUAUCGUAAACUCCUGUGAGAGCAGACGAAAGACAGAUUAUUAAUCUGGAUGACUGUAUGCUCAGAGGAGGCCCCGGCUAACUACGUG
This 482-nucleotide ribosomal RNA is filed under the name uncultured bacterium. RNAcentral describes it as "bacterial SSU rRNA". It matches the Rfam family "Bacterial small subunit ribosomal RNA", at positions 27 to 507 of the family's 1533-position model. The record is from RNAcentral.